RNAcentral lists this ribosomal RNA (498 nucleotides) under uncultured bacterium. Its description in RNAcentral is "partial 16S ribosomal RNA". It matches the Rfam family "Bacterial small subunit ribosomal RNA", at positions 30 to 523 of the family's 1533-position model. The record is from RNAcentral.
AUUGAACGCUGGCGGCAUGCUUUACACAUGCAAGUCGAACGGUAACAGGCCGCAAGGUGCUGACGAGUGGCGAACGGGUGAGUAAUGCAUCGGAACGUGCCCAGUCGUGGGGGAUAACGCAGCGAAAGCUGUGCUAAUACCGCAUACGAUCUAUGGAUGAAGGCGGGGGACCGUAAGGCCUCGCGCGAUUGGAGCGGCCGAUGUCAGAUUAGGUAGUUGGUGGGGUAAAGGCUCACCAAGCCAACGAUCUGUAGCUGGUCUGAGAGGACGACCAGCCACACUGGGACUGAGACACGGCCCAGACUCCUACGGGAGGCAGCAGUGGGGAACUUUGGACAAUGGGCGCAAGCCUGAUCCAGCAAUGCCGCGUGCAGGAAGAAGGCCUUCGGGUUGUAAACUGCUUUUGUACGGAACGAAAAGGUUUGGGUUAAUACCUUGGGCCGAUGACGGUACCGUAAGAAUAAGCACCGGCUAACUACGUGCCAGCCGCCGCCGUAA